GAUGAACGCUGGCGGCGUGCUUAACACAUGCAAGUCGAACGAAGCACUUUAUUUGAUUUCCUUCGGGACUGAUUAUUUUGUGACUGAGUGGCGGACGGGUGAGUAACGCGUGGGUAACCUGCCUUGUACAGGGGGAUAACAGUUGGAAACGGCUGCUAAUACCGCAUAAGCGCACGGCAUCGCAUGAUGCAGUGUGAAAAACUCCGGUGGUAUAAGAUGGACCCGCGUUGGAUUAGCUAGUUGGUGAGGUAACGGCCCACCAAGGCGACGAUCCAUAGCCGACCUGAGAGGGUGACCGGCCACAUUGGGACUGAGACACGGCCCAAACUCCUACGGGAGGCAGCAGUGGGGAAUAUUGCACAAUGGGCGAAAGCCUGAUGCAGCAACGCCGCGUGAGCGAAGAAGUAUUUCGGUAUGUAAAGCUCUAUCAGCAGGGAAGAUAAUGACGGUACCUGACUAAGAAGCACCGGCUAAAUACGUG
RNAcentral lists this ribosomal RNA (481 nucleotides) under uncultured bacterium. RNAcentral describes it as "partial 16S ribosomal RNA". It matches the Rfam family "Bacterial small subunit ribosomal RNA", at positions 28 to 507 of the family's 1533-position model. The record is from RNAcentral.